GAAUAUUGGGCAAUGGUCGAGAGACUGACCCAGCCAUGCCGCGUGAAGGAAGAAGGCUUUCUGAGUUGUAAACUUCUUUUAUCUGGGAAUAAAAUACCCUUGCGAGGGGAACUGAAGGUACCAGAUGAAUAAGCACCGGCUAACUCCGUGCCAGCAGCCGCGGUAAUACGGAGGGUGCAAGCGUUGUCCGGAUUUAUUGGGUUUAAAGGGUGCGUAGGCGGUUUUAUAAGUCAGUGUUUAAAGUCUGCAGCUUAACUGUAGGAAUGGCAUUGAUACUGUAGAACUUGAGUAAAGUUGAGGUAGGCGGAAUUGAAGGUGUAGCGGUGAAAUGCUUAGAUAUCUUCAAGAACACCAAUUGCGAAGGCAGCUUACUAAGCUUUAACUGACGCUGAGGCACGAAAGCGUGGGGAUCAAAC
This 416-nucleotide ribosomal RNA is filed under the name uncultured bacterium. Its description in RNAcentral is "bacterial SSU rRNA". It matches the Rfam family "Bacterial small subunit ribosomal RNA", at positions 359 to 773 of the family's 1533-position model. The record is from RNAcentral.